UACAGAGGUCUCAAGCGUUGUUCGGAUUCAUUGGGCGUAAAGGGUGCGUAGGCGGCGAGGUAAGUCGGAUGUGAAAUCCCGGGGCUCAACCCUGGAACUGCAUUCGAUACUGCCGUGCUUGAGGACUGGAGAGGAGACUGGAAUUUACGGUGUAGCGGUGAAAUGCGUAGAUAUCGUAAGGAAGACCAGUGGCGAAGGCGGGUCUCUGGACAGUUCCUGACGCUGAGGCACGAAGGUCAGGGGAGCAAACGGG
RNAcentral lists this ribosomal RNA (253 nucleotides) under uncultured bacterium. RNAcentral describes it as "partial 16S ribosomal RNA". It matches the Rfam family "Bacterial small subunit ribosomal RNA", at positions 524 to 776 of the family's 1533-position model. The record is from RNAcentral.